This 26-nucleotide non-coding RNA is filed under the name Rattus norvegicus (Norway rat). Lineage: Eukaryota; Metazoa; Chordata; Mammalia; Rodentia; Muridae. The record is from RNAcentral.
UGGUACACUUCAAUUGUCCAAGGACC